AUUGAACGCUGGCGGCAGGCCUAACACAUGCAAGUCGAACGGCAGCACAGAAGAGCUUGCUCUUUGGGUGGCGAGUGGCGGACGGGUGAGUAACACGUAGGAAUCUACCCAGUAGUGGGGGAUAACCUGGGGAAACCCAGGCUAAUACCGCAUACGCCCUGAGGGGGAAAGCGGGGGAUCUUCGGACCUCGCGCUAUUGGAUGAGCCUGCGUCGGAUUAGCUAGUUGGUGGGGUAAGGGCCACCAAGGCGACGAUCCGUAGCUGGUCUGAGAGGAUGACCAGUCACACCGGAACUGAGACACGGUCCGGACUCCUACGGGAGGCAGCAGUGGGGAAUAUUGGACAAUGGGCGCAAGCCUGAUCCAGCCAUGCCGCGUGGGUGAAGAAGGCCUCGGUUGUAAGCC
RNAcentral lists this ribosomal RNA (404 nucleotides) under uncultured bacterium. RNAcentral describes it as "bacterial SSU rRNA". It matches the Rfam family "Bacterial small subunit ribosomal RNA", at positions 29 to 432 of the family's 1533-position model. The record is from RNAcentral.